Molecule: transfer RNA, 70 nt
Filed under: Histeroidea sp. 3 KM-2017
Lineage: Eukaryota; Metazoa; Arthropoda; Insecta; Coleoptera
Description: tRNA-Lys
Source: RNAcentral
CAUUAGAUUGCUAAAAGCAAGCACUGGCCUCUUAAGCCAAUUAUAGUAGAAGCCGCGCCUACUUCUAAUG